AGAGUUUGAUCAUGGCUCAGGACGAACGCUGGCGGCGUGCCUAAUACAUGCAAGUCGAGCGCUCCAGCAAUGGAGAGCGGCAGACGGGUGAGUAACGCGUGGGAACCUACCUAGUGGUACGGAAUAGCCCAGGGAAACUUGGGGUAAUACCGUAUACGCCCGAAAGGGGAAAGAUUUAUCGCCGAGGGAUCGGCCCGCGUCCGAUUAGCUAGUUGGUGAGGUAAUGGCUCACCAAGGCGAAGACGCGUAGCUGGUCUGAGAGGAUGAUCAGCCACACUGGGACUGAGACACGGCCCAGACUCCUACGGGAGGCAGCAGUGGGGAAUAUUGGACAAUGGGCGCAAGCCUGAUCCAGCCACGCCGCGUGAGUGAUGAAGGCCUUCGGGUCGUAAAGCUCUUUCAGCGGGGAAGAUAAUGACGGUACCCGCAGAAGAAGCCCCGGCUAACUUCGUGCCAGCAGCCGCGGUAAUACGAAGGGGGCUAGCGUUGUUCGGAAUUACUGGGCGUAAAGCGCGCGUAGGCGGGUUGUUAAGUCAGGGGUGAAAUGCCGAGGCUCAACCUCGGAACUGCCUUUGAUACUGGCAAUCUGGAGAUCGGGAGAGGUGAGUGGAAUUCCUGGUGUAGCGGUGAAAUGCGCAGAUAUCAGGAAGAACACCUAUGGCGAAAGCAGCUCUCUGGGACGGUACUGACGCUGAGACGCGAA
Molecule: ribosomal RNA, 703 nt
Filed under: uncultured bacterium
Lineage: Bacteria
Description: bacterial SSU rRNA
Rfam family: Bacterial small subunit ribosomal RNA
Source: RNAcentral